AUGCUUGCUUCAGCAACAUAUAUGAUAAACUUGGAACAAUACAGAGAAAAUGAGCAUGGCCCCUGCACAAGGAUGACAUGCAAAUUCAUGAAGCAUUCCAUUUCUUU
Molecule: small nuclear RNA, 107 nt
Organism: Homo sapiens (human)
Lineage: Eukaryota; Metazoa; Chordata; Mammalia; Primates; Hominidae
Source: Ensembl